This 497-nucleotide ribosomal RNA is filed under the name uncultured bacterium. RNAcentral's name for it is "bacterial SSU rRNA". It matches the Rfam family "Bacterial small subunit ribosomal RNA", at positions 349 to 836 of the family's 1533-position model. The record is from RNAcentral.
CAGCAGUGGGGAAUUUUGGACAAUGGGUGAAAGCCUGAUCCAGCCAUUCCGCGUGAGUGAAGAAGGCCUUCGGGUUGUAAAGCUCUUUCGCAAGGGAAGAAACGAUGCAGUCGAAUACCCUGUGUUAAUGUCGGUUCCUUGAUAAGAAGCACCGGCUAACUACGUGCCAGCAGCCGCGGUAAUACGUAGGGUGCAAGCGUUAUUUGGAAUUUCUGGGCGUAAAGCGUGCGCAGGCGGUUUUGUAAGUCAGAUGUGAAAUCCCCGAGCUCAACUUGGGAAAUGCGUUUUAAACUACAAGACUAGAAUAUGUCAGAGGGGGGUAGAAUUCCACGUGUAGCAGUGAAAUGUGUAGAGAUGUGGAGGAAUACCAAUGGCGAAGGCAGCCCCCUGGGAUAAUAUUGACGCUCAUGCACGAAAAGCGUGGGGAGCAAACAGGAUUUGAUACCCUGGUAGUCCACGCCCUAAACGAUGUCUACUAGUUGUUGGUGGAGUAAAAU